Molecule: long non-coding RNA, 210 nt
Filed under: Elaeis guineensis (African oil palm)
Lineage: Eukaryota; Viridiplantae; Streptophyta; Magnoliopsida; Arecales; Arecaceae
Description: long non-coding RNA (EGUI_LNC075418)
Source: RNAcentral
AGUGUACAAACUACAAUUAGAGUUUAAUUAAUUAGAUUAGGCUAGAAUUCAUUUUUGAUUUUGAGCAGUUGAUUGAACCUAAUCGAUGGAUGAUUAGGAUUAGAUCAAAGGGGCUCAAAGUCGACUUUAGUUGUAGUUGGUCGUAUCAAUUUAUAUUUUGAUGUGAGUUGAUUAACUCAAGACCGAAUUUGACUUAGUGGUUCGGAUCCA